RNAcentral lists this ribosomal RNA (420 nucleotides) under uncultured bacterium. RNAcentral's name for it is "bacterial SSU rRNA". It matches the Rfam family "Bacterial small subunit ribosomal RNA", at positions 355 to 774 of the family's 1533-position model. The record is from RNAcentral.
UAAGGAAUAUUGCUCAAUGGGAGAAAUCCUGGAGCAGCAACGCCGCGUGGAGGAUGAAGGGUCUAUGACUUGUAAACUCCUGUAAAGAAGGAAAAAAUUCCCAUUAGAUGGGAGAUGAUGGUACUUCUGGAGUAAGCCCCGGCUAACUACGUGCCAGCAGCCGCGGUAAUACGUAGGGGGCAAGCGUUGUCCGGAUUUACUGGGUGUAAAGGGUGCUCAGGCGGAUUUGUAAGUCAGAGGUGAAAUCUUACAGCUUAACUGUGAAACUGCCUCUGAUACUGCAAGCCUAGAGUAUGGAAGAGAGUGAUUGAAUAUCUGGUGUAGCAGUGAAAUGCGUAGAUAUCAGAUAGAACACCAAUGGCGAAGGCAGUCACUUGGUCCAUUACUGACGCUAAAGCACGAAAGCGUGGGUAGCAAACA